GGGCCCGUCGUCUAGUAUGGAUUAGGACGCAGGCCUGCGGAGCCUGAAAUCCUGGGUUCGAAUCCCAGCGGGCCCA
RNAcentral lists this transfer RNA (76 nucleotides) under Thermoplasmata archaeon. Its description in RNAcentral is "tRNA-Arg". It matches the Rfam family "tRNA". From Rfam's summary of the family: Transfer RNA (tRNA) molecules are approximately 80 nucleotides in length. Their secondary structure includes four short double-helical elements and three loops (D, anti-codon, and T loops). Further hydrogen bonds mediate the characteristic L-shaped molecular structure. tRNAs have two regions of fundamental functional importance: the anti-codon, which is responsible for specific mRNA codon recognition, and the 3' end, to which the tRNAs corresponding amino acid is attached (by aminoacyl-tRNA synthetases). tRNAs cope with the degeneracy of the genetic code in two manners: having more than one tRNA (with a specific anti-codon) for a particular amino acid; and 'wobble' base-pairing, i.e. permitting non-standard base-pairing at the 3rd anti-codon position. Lineage: Archaea; Methanobacteriati; Thermoplasmatota; Thermoplasmata. RNAcentral also lists the same sequence under 2 other names. The record is from RNAcentral.